This 290-nucleotide long non-coding RNA is filed under the name Homo sapiens (human). Its description in RNAcentral is "LNC_000439". Lineage: Eukaryota; Metazoa; Chordata; Mammalia; Primates; Hominidae. The record is from RNAcentral.
AGAAAUGAGAACACAAACGUGCAUAGGGGGAAGACCAUGUGAGGACACAGGGAGAAGACAGCAUCUACAAGCCAAGGAGAGGGGCAUGAGAAGAAACCGAACCUGCCAGCAACCUGAUCCCAGACUCCCACCCCUAGAAGUGCAGGAACAAUGCAAACCUGGCCUAUGGUGCUUUGCUACGCAGCCCUGGAAAACUAGGACAGUUCCUGUGAUUCUUCCCGAUGUUCCCAGCCUUCCACCUUCACAUUUUGGAUGCCGCUGCUGUGCGGCCCCAUCUUGCAUGAGCUGCC